AUUGAACGCUGGCGGCAUGCCUUACACAUGCAAGUCGAACGGUAACGGGUCCUUCGGGAUGCCGACGAGUGGCGAACGGGUGAGUAAUAUAUCGGAACGUGCCCAGUAGUGGGGGAUAACUGCUCGAAAGAGCAGCUAAUACCGCAUACGACCUGAGGGUGAAAGGGGGGGAUCGCGAGACCUCUCGCUAUUGGAGCGGCCGAUAUCAGAUUAGCUAGUUGGUGGGGUAAAGGCCUACCAAGGCAACGAUCUGUAGUUGGUCUGAGAGGACGACCAGCCACACUGGGACUGAGACACGGCCCAGACUCCUACGGGAGGCAGCAGUGGGGAAUUUUGGACAAUGGGCGCAAGCCUGAUCCAGCAAUGCCGCGUGCAGGAAGAAGGCCUUCGGGUUGUAAACUGCUUUUGUCAGGGAAGAAAUCUUCUGGGCUAAUACCCCGGGAGGAUGACGGUACCUGAAGAAUAAGCACCGGCUAACUACGUGCCAGCAGCCGCGGUAAUACGUAGGGUGCGAGCGUUAAUCGGAAUUACUGGGCGUAAAGCGUGCGCAGGCGGCUUUGCAAGACAGAUGUGAAAUCCCCGGGCUCAACCUGGGAACUGCAUUUGUGACUGCAAGGCUAGAGUACGGCAGAGGGGGAUGGAAUUCCGCGUGUAGCAGUGAAAUGCGUAGAUAUGCGGAGGAACACCAAUGGCGAAGGCAAUCCCCUGGGCCUGUACUGACGCUCAUGCACGAAAGCGUGGGGAGCAAACAGGAUUAGAUACCCUGGUAGUCCACGCCCUAAACGAUGUCAACUGGUUGUUGGACGGCUUGCUGUUCAGUAACGAGGCUAACGCGUGAAGUUGACCGCCUGGGGAGUACGGCCGCAAGGUUGAAACUCAAAGGAGUUGACGGGGACCCGCACAAGCGGUGGAUGAUGUGGUUUAAUUCGAUGCAACGCGAAAAACCUUACCUACCCUUGACAUGUCAAGAAUUCUGCAGAGAUGUGGAAGUGCUCGAAAGAGAACUUGAACACAGGUGCUGCAUGGCCGUCGUCAGCUCGUGUCGUGAGAUGUUGGGUUAAGUCCCGCAACGAGCGCAACCCUUGUCAUUAGUUGCUACGCAAGAGCACUCUAAUGAGACUGCCGGUGACAAACCGGAGGAAGGUGGGGAUGACGUCAGGUCCUCAUGGCCCUUAUGGGUAGGGCUACACACGUCAUACAAUGGCCGGUACAGAGGGCUGCCAACCCGCGAGGGGGAGCCAAUCCCAGAAAACCGGUCGUAGUCCGGAUCGUAGUCUGCAACUCGACUGCGUGAAGUCGGAAUCGCUAGUAAUCGCGGAUCAGCUUGCCGCGGUGAAUACGUUCCCGGGUCU
Molecule: ribosomal RNA, 1352 nt
Filed under: uncultured bacterium
Lineage: Bacteria
Description: bacterial SSU rRNA
Rfam family: Bacterial small subunit ribosomal RNA
Source: RNAcentral